CAGACCUCAUUUUCAGGGAUCGUUUCUAUACUUGGCUACUGCGGAAGUCGAGAGCCUCAGAAACCGCGAGGAAGGUGCCGCGUUCUCUCCCGAGUGUGAAGCCAGAUCUCGGUGUUGCUUCUGCAACUGCCAUUUGUCAUCCAUAAUUGUCCUUCUCUUCCUCUGGGAGAAUGAGAGGAAGAGGAUGGUGCGGAGCGCU
Molecule: small nucleolar RNA, 199 nt
Organism: Ursus americanus (American black bear)
Lineage: Eukaryota; Metazoa; Chordata; Mammalia; Carnivora; Ursidae
Gene: U3
Rfam family: Small nucleolar RNA U3
About the family: Small nucleolar RNAs (snoRNAs) are involved in the processing and modification of rRNA in the nucleolus.
Source: Ensembl